GAUGAACGCUGGCGGCGUGCCUAACACAUGCAAGUCGAGCGAUUCUCUUCGGAGAAGAGCGGCGGACGGGUGAGUAACGCGUGGGUAACCUGCCCUGUACACACGGAUAACAUACCGAAAGGUAUGCUAAUACGAGAUAAUACACUUUUAUCGCAUGGUAGAAGUAUCAAAGCUCCGGCGGUACAGGAUGGACCCGCGUCUGAUUAGCUAGUUGGUGAGGUAACGGCUCACCAAGGCGACGAUCAGUAGCCGACCUGAGAGGGUGAUCGGCCACAUUGGAACUGAGACACGGUCCAAACUCCUACGGGAGGCAGCAGUGGGGAAUAUUGCACAAUGGGCGAAAGCCUGAUGCAGCAACGCCGCGUGAGCGAUGAAGGCCUUCGGGUCGUAAAGCUCUGUCCUCAAGGAAGAUAAUGACGGUACUUGAGGAGGAAGCCCCGGCUAACUACGUGCCAGCCGCCGCAGUAA
This 468-nucleotide ribosomal RNA is filed under the name uncultured bacterium. RNAcentral's name for it is "partial 16S ribosomal RNA". It matches the Rfam family "Bacterial small subunit ribosomal RNA", at positions 28 to 523 of the family's 1533-position model. The record is from RNAcentral.